Molecule: ribosomal RNA, 460 nt
Filed under: uncultured bacterium
Lineage: Bacteria
Description: partial 16S ribosomal RNA
Rfam family: Bacterial small subunit ribosomal RNA
Source: RNAcentral
CCUACGGGGGGCAGCAGUGAGGAAUAUUUGUCCAUGGACGCAAGUCUGAACCAGCCAUGCCGCGUGCAGGCAGACGGCUCUAUGAGUUGUAAACUGCUUUUGUACGAGGGUAAAUCCCGAUACGUGUAUCGGGUUGAAAGUAUCGUACGAAUAAGGAUCGGCUAACUCCGUGCCAGCAGCCGCGGUAAUACGGAGGAUUCCAGCGUUAUCCGGAUUUAUUGGGUUUAAAGGGUGCGUAGGCGGUUCGAUAAGUUAGAGGUGAAAUCCCGGGGCUCAACUCCGGCACUGCCUCUGAUACUGGCGGGCUAGAGUUUAGUUGCGGUAGGCGGAAUGUAUGGUGUAGCGGUGAAAUGCAUAGAGAUCAUACAGAACACCGAUUGCGAAGGCAGCAUACCGGAGCGCAACUGACGCUGAGGCACGAAAGUGCGGGUAUCGAACAGGAUUAGAUACCCGGGUAGUC